AGGGGAAUAUUGCACAAUGGCGGGAACUCUGAUGCAGCAACGCCGCGUGCGGGUUGACGGCCUUCGGGUUGUAAACCGCUUUCAGCCAUGACGAAGCUUUUGUGACGGUAGUGGUAGAAGAAGCACCGGCUAACUACGUGCCAGCAGCCGCGGUGAUACGUAGGGUGCGAGCGUUGUCCGGAAUUAUUGGGCGUAAAGAGCUUGUAGGCGGUUUGUCGCGUCGAUAGUGUAAACAGGCAGCUUAACUGUGUGCCUGCUGUCGAUACGGGCUGACUAGAGGAGGGUAGGGGAGAAUGGGAUUCCCGGUAGCGCGGUGGAAUGCGCAGGUGUCGGGAGGAACACCAGUGGCGAAGGCGGUUCGCUGGACCUUUCCUGACGCAGAGAAGCGAAAGCGGGAGUAGCAAACAGG
This 409-nucleotide ribosomal RNA is filed under the name Fusobacteriota bacterium. Its description in RNAcentral is "Fusobacteria bacterium partial 16S ribosomal RNA". It matches the Rfam family "Bacterial small subunit ribosomal RNA", at positions 355 to 776 of the family's 1533-position model. The record is from RNAcentral. Lineage: Bacteria; Fusobacteriati; Fusobacteriota.